RNAcentral lists this ribosomal RNA (280 nucleotides) under uncultured Alphaproteobacteria bacterium. Its description in RNAcentral is "partial 16S ribosomal RNA". It matches the Rfam family "Bacterial small subunit ribosomal RNA", at positions 46 to 351 of the family's 1533-position model. The record is from RNAcentral. Lineage: Bacteria; Pseudomonadati; Pseudomonadota; Alphaproteobacteria.
GCAGGCUUAUACAUGCAAGUCGAGCGAAGACUUCGGUCUUAGCGGCGGACGGGUGAGUAACACGUGGGAACAUGCCCUUCACUGCGGAAUAGUCCCGGGAAACUGGGUUUAAUACCGCAUACGCCCUUCGGGGGAAAGAUUUAUCGGUGAAGGAUUGGCCCGCGUCUGAUUAGAUAGUCGGUGGGGUAACGGCCUACCAAGUCGACGAUCAGUAGCUGGUUUGAGAGGAUGAUCAGCCACACUGGGACUGAGACACGGCCCAGACUCCUACGGGAGGCAG